This 487-nucleotide ribosomal RNA is filed under the name uncultured bacterium. Its description in RNAcentral is "bacterial SSU rRNA". It matches the Rfam family "Bacterial small subunit ribosomal RNA", at positions 28 to 524 of the family's 1533-position model. The record is from RNAcentral.
GACGAACGCUGGCGGCGUGCCUAACACAUGCAAGUCGAGCGGGGUCCAUCCAGUGGCAACACUGGGGAAGACCUAGCGGCGAACGGGUGAGUAACACGUGAGAAACCUGCCCUGAAGUCUGGGAUAACCCGAGGAAACUCGAGCUAAUACCGGAUGCCCCCACCGAGUCGCAUGGCUUGGUGAGGAAAGAUUCAUCGCUUCAGGAGGGUCUCGCGGCCUAUCAGCUAGUUGGCGGGGUAACGGCCCACCAAGGCAUCGACGGGUAGCUGGUCUGAGAGGACGAUCAGCCACACUGGGACUGAGACACGGCCCAGACUCCUACGGGAGGCAGCAGUGGGGAAUAUUGCGCAAUGGGCGAAAGCCUGACGCAGCAACGCCGCGUGCGGGAUGACGGCCUCGGUUGUAACCGACUUUCAGUGGGGACGGAAAACAGACGGUACCCGACAGAAGAAGACCCGGCCAACUACGUGCCAGCAGCCGCGGUAAU